Molecule: long non-coding RNA, 293 nt
Filed under: Elaeis guineensis (African oil palm)
Lineage: Eukaryota; Viridiplantae; Streptophyta; Magnoliopsida; Arecales; Arecaceae
Description: long non-coding RNA (EGUI_LNC081657)
Source: RNAcentral
UAGGCUACUUUUCCCUCCUUGGUGGCUCCGACUGUGGUAAGGCCCUAGGCCGGUCUUCCCUACCUUCAGAUUGGCGUUGAAUGAAUCUGUCGAACCGACCUCAUCUGAUGAGCUCCUCGAUCUCAUCAUGAAGCUGAAUACACUCCUCCGUGUCGUGGCCGUGGUCGCGAUGAUAAAGGCAGAACUUGUUAGGAUUGCACUUCCUGGGAUGUGUGUGCAUUCUUUUCGGCCUUGGCAGCUGCUCCCUAACCUCCAUCAACACUUGAGUUUUUGAUGUGUUGAGAGGGGUGUAG